This is a long non-coding RNA of Megalobrama amblycephala (Wuchang bream), 1553 nucleotides long. RefSeq lists it as uncharacterized. The transcript is spliced from 5 exons. The record is from RefSeq and is a predicted model, not a curated record. Lineage: Eukaryota; Metazoa; Chordata; Actinopteri; Cypriniformes; Xenocyprididae.
UAUAAGGUGAACUUCAAACAGUUGAAAAACAUCAAGUCCCUUGGCAAAUAUAGCUAUACUGGUCUGACUAGAGCCAUCAUACAUUAUUGAGCAAGAUCAAACAAACUCAUUGGUGAAAGAAAAAAUCCUAUUCUUAGUAUAUCCAGCCAAAAUACACCCCGCUGAGAUGAAAGACAAAAAGACAGACUGGCCCAUUUCUGUCUGGUAAGACCCACAGAGGGAAUAAUUUAGAAUUAAUUUCAUUGAUUUGGCCUAAGGAAACCACAGCUUUGAAAGACUGAAUGUAAUUUGUAACUAUUAACAAUGAUGCAGCAGCCACACUGUCCAUUUAUAUCUGAUUUACCAAAUUCUCAAUAGCGUUGUGUAAUUUAGAAACACAACUGUAUCUCUUAACACAUAUCAGGCUGAUAUUACAGAUAAUUGUUUUUAAGCAACCAAAGUUACCUUGUGUUUAAAAAAUGCUAGUCAAGGUUGGUUUAAAAAAGUAGUUUGUAUUAAAUGUACAGUGUAUCUCAAAUCUUAAAAGUAGGCUAUAUUUAAAAAUAAAACUACUUGCAGAUAAUAUUAAUGAACUUAAAUGUACUUAGAGUGUACAUUCAUGACUGCUUCUUAACUUUGUAAUAAUGUCAAAUUAAACUUUUACUUUAAAAUACUGUUUAAAUCAUUAUGUUUUAAUAAUCUUUUGUAAUGCUUUAAAGAAAUAUUACUGUUAUUAUUCAGGUCUCAUUUCAUUCUUCGUGCUGUGCUCAAGGACUCUUAUGUUGAAGUGUAUUUUCUGUUACUAUUGUUCCUGUGUUUCCUUUCCUGUGUUUUCCUUGUUUCCUUUGCUCCCUUGAUUGGCUGGAUCCCAAACGGCACCCUAAACCCUCACGGUCUUCCUCUGAGUCUGCACUUUUGUGACGUUAUGCCUCUUUGAAAGUCCUCUGCGUAGCUCGCGAACUCGCGGGCUCAGCUGAAGUGCGCAUCGAGGGCGCAUCCCUCGUGAGCACCCUUCUGAAACCUAAAAUGAUUAAUGGGACACCCUGCGGUCUCGUGGACAUAAAGAGUACGCUCACGUGGCAGCCAUUAGCUGCCGUUGACUUCUCUCAGUUCAUCACCGACAUGCACCAGACCUGUGGAGAAAGGAAGGAAGGAAGGACAGAUUUACUACUACAUGUUCAAGCUGCACCCGCUAUUGGGUCCUUGGAGACCCACUUUGACCACACAGAUGGGACAUUGCAGCAGACAUGCCGCCCAGUGCCCAUCACGGAGCCCCUCCCUUCAUGAUCCGAGCUACAAUCACGGCCCCGGUGGAUUCAUCCCGCCGAAUAGUGGCACCCUGAGAGACAGAGAGAGACAAAGAAAAGGCGGACGAUCUUGACAGAGUCCUCAUCUAGUUCAUCCUCAAAGUCGUCAGGAAGAGGAGGCAGCACAGGGUCAAAAUUCUUCUGCGCCACUGUGUCAUGAACUGACAGAACCGCCUAAUAAGCAGGAGGGAUAUGAACAUCAACAUUUUGUUUCUAGUCCAACAUUUUUAAUGGAGGUCUAACAAUAAAGGUGUUUUUGUACCUUGA